GAGAGGAGUAGGACGGCAGUCGGGGGGGAGGGGAGGGGUGUUAGGAAAAAGAGGGGGGGCAGCGGCGGGGGUAGGGGAGGAGGAGGGGGAGGGUGCCGGGGGUCGGGAGCGGCCACCGGGUCUAGGCCUGCGGGCGCGGGUAGGGGCGCGGCGCGGCGCGGAGCGGCUAGCGGCUCCUAUUUUUCCGACACUAUUCUUUAACUCUUAACUACAAGACCUGAUAGUGAGGUGAAGAAGACACUCCUAUUUUUCCAACACUAUUCGUUAAUUCGGAACCACAGGACCUAACAGUGAGGAGAAAAAGACACUCAACCGAACCAAUUACACACGAAACACCAUUUCUACUGUCUGUUACCAUUUCGUUUCAGUCCGAGUCCUCGUCGGAUAUGUUAGUUAGAUCUCUGGAAGUCAUUCGCCGAAUUCCACAAAAUACUGGUAACCUUGCCUUUGUUCAGACUAGAAACCCGAAGAAGACUACGGUAACGUUAACGAUGAGGCGGAGGAAGACUCCUAGAGGCAAUAAACUUCAGGUGUCGAGACCUACAAACCAAUGAACCCAUACUUAAAGGUCUUUGGUAUUAACAGAAGUACGUCUUCGUCUAUGUAAAGAAUACGUCGGUCUUCUUUCGUUUAGAGUAACCUUGGGAGUUCCUACGACGUUCACUCCGACAACCAAGACUAUAAUAGAACGUACACUUUUCGUUCUUACCCCUACCGUAACUGGACUACCUACUGUAUGACGCACGACAAAGACGAGUCAGCUUUAGACUGUGAGGUCAACAACCAGUGUAACGUUUUCUCCGUGGACUCCCAUUCGAGGAACUUUGUACCCGUCUUUUCAAUCGACCACCUAGACAUGUUGAACGUCUGCAUUGUGUACCCAAAAGACUCGAAAAACGGCACUUUCUGCGGUGUCUCUAGUAUACACACUUCUUCCGACGAAUGGAUUGAAGUAGACACUACUUUUUGAAACACCAUGGCUGGUACCUCUUCCAAUAACUACUCCUCUCUUUUCAGAGUGUGAGGAGUAACUACCUACUGUGUCUCUUCCAAUAAGAACUAGGAAACUUCCGGUUCCACUUCAACUUCGGACUUUUAUAACUAUAUACGAUGGGAGGACAGAAGGUUUCACCUCCCUUCAAACUAGAAUCCGGUCCACGGAGGUCGUUACUACUAAUAGAGAUGAUACUAGGACGUUCAUAGUAGUAGACACGUUAACCCAGGUCCAUGUCAUUGAUGACAAGGUUACAACGGUCUUGUAAAAACUAUCUACGAUGGGGCCGUGUCUCAUUCCGCAUACUCUGUGAAGACUUUCGAGUCCUUCGACGAAAUCGUCGUACAUUUGGUCCGUUAGUCUACAGACGUCAAAAAUUCCGACGUCAACGUCACAAACUCUUCUUACGGGGACUUGACGAAGGAUUAGAUUGUUUCAGUCGACCUUGACCUUAACCGGAACUCAAGGCUCUUAGACCGAAUUUGAACUUACGGUUCUUACUGGCAGACUAUUUUCUCCCUUACUAAAAGUUACAGUUGGAACCAAACUCAUUAUAUGUCCGUCUUUGUUUGUUACUCUUCUGUUUCGUCAAGAGAAACAAUAAUCGACUAUGUCGAAAUCAAUUACUGUUCCGACGUCUCUAGAACUGGUUAACGAGGUUCCGACAAUUUCUACAACGUAUAAGUAAAUUACUUCUACUCCUCCUUCAAGGCUUCGGCUUCGCCCGAUUCCAACUCGGUUUACCGCACCUUCGUGAUGGUAGGUUCCGUUGUGAAGCCAGUCUGUUGGUCCUCUACAGGUUCCUUCUCGAGGCCUCUGUCGUGGUCCGACUUGAACGAGCAGUUUUCUUACUUCUCUGACGAUCUUCCGAACGACCCCCACCAAGACCAUUACCACUACCGGCACCAGGAAGAUCCUUAAGUUUACUCGAACAACGCAUGUUCUUACACUUACUACAUGGAAUAAGCUCUCUCAACCACUAUGUUCAUCUAGUCUCCUUACUUCGACAAGAGAAUGGAUAUAUACCGUCAUACCAGGGAAAGGUACAAAGAUGACAAUUCUCACACUGGUCGGUGGUCCUGUUGGCGUGGACGUGAUAGGCGUAAAAGAAGUUACAUGGACCGUACGGUAAGAGUUUACUGUUUCUAGACUUCAGAGUUCCUCGAUAGAUGAACUUUCUCUAAUGUAAGGCGAGCUUCCUAGGUGCCGUAUCGUCACUUCAACACGUCGUCUAGUUUUGUAACUCCUCCGUUCAUCGAAGUUCCCUCAGUCUCUCUCGACUUUCCCGGUGGGAACAAUGGGUCCUCUUCGAGGUCGUCCGUUCGUUGUUUUGUUUCGUUUACUCCGAAUUACUACAGACCUAUUCCGGAGGUAAACCACCAGCACCCUCUUUCGACUGUCCUUGAGAACUCCGGGUACAAUUACCAAAGUCUAUAAGGUGAAGUGCCCGACUACUCGCACACCUAUAGUACAUGCCCUUAUAUUUUGUACGAAAGAAGGUCGGUCGUCUCUUUCUUUACUAAUGGGAGGAAGUAAAGGUAGACGUGUUGGUAUAGUACCAACCUUUGUUCUUCUGCUUCCUACAGGUCAAAAUACAACUUCACUACCUACAACAAGUUUGACAACCACCGUCGUCCUCCAGUCGGGAACUAGGACUACUCUAACUUCUUCUCGUCGCACUCUCCCUGGCCUUCUUGUCUUAGUUGUACCUCAAGGUCUUGAUAUAGUUGUUCCAAUUACUGGUGACCAGCGUUGGUGUCAAGUUCCCCGAACUAGACCUCAAACUAUAGGGAGAAUCUCUCGAGCCCAAGGUACCCCACGGCAUAUUUCGAAGUCGAAAGUAGUAAGGUUGAAGUUGAACGAACCAACUCGACUAACUCUGGGGGAAGGACCACCACUGGGACCCACUCUAUCUCUAACAAUUAGACCUCUCCCACCCGAAACCUUGUUUCUUGAAACUGUACCGAUAGCACAAGUUCCUGAAGUUCUUCCUACAAGAGGCGUAGCUGAGGUAGGGCAGUUGGAGUGAACUGCGAUAUUUCCUCACCGACCUGUGGUGACUAGAGUUCAUGAUACUCUCGUCCGACUUAGACUUGACCGCAGGAUAGGACUUCUGAUAGUAACUACUAGGAGUCUUCAAACAACUGCUACCACCGACCCUCAAGGACUUGUACCUCCGUUCACUAAGACUCCGUCUCCUUUGUCUCCUUAGCCUGGUCCCCAUACUCGGAAGACUACGACUCGGACUCAGACUUAGUCUUCUCCUUCUGAGGCUGUCGCGCAGGAACCACCUUAGUCUGCUCCUACUCCUUCUCCUAAGACUACUUCUGAGACUCCUUCUCUUCCCGUUCUGGACCCUGCUCGACCUCGCCCUCCGCUGGUUGCGCCUGGCCCUAGUACCGCGUCUCAGACUGUCGCUCCUUCUUUCCUCCGCGGCGUUCCAGUUCUGGAAGUCGUUCAGCCCGCGUGGUGGCGUCGCACCAGGAUCGUCGUCGUUCGUACGAGGCGACGGCGUCGCACCACCGUCGUCGUCGCCGUUGUUCAGAGCGGGCGGAGGGUCAUCGAGGUUCCCUCCCGGCGGGAGCUUCUUCGGCUUCAAGUCCACUAACCAAGCAGAACCAGCGCGGGAGACUUAGAGACGAGAAAGCCCCUCCGUAUCAUAAACAUACCAAACCAACAUCGUCUUCGGCAGAUCAAGCGAGAAAUCCGGCAGCACCAUGAGCAAAGACGUCAUCGAAACGAGCAUGAUAGCAAUAUCAGUCAGUUAGCCUUGGAACCACUUAACAAUACAACAAUAAUGGACCGCACACACUGUCUCAGACUUCUGAACAACAAACAGCAAACCUAUUUAAGUUCGACCAAGUAGACGACACAGUACCAACUACAUUACGAAAUAACAUCUAACAGACUGUAGGUCAAACAUAUUUAAAGUAAACUGUAAAAAACCGAACAAAAAGCACUGACAAGAGGAGACGCCCUGUUUGUAAACCAUCAACGGUUUCCGAAACAGGACACUGCUCUUAAAGUACUAAGUC
RNAcentral lists this ribosomal RNA (4029 nucleotides) under Triticum aestivum (bread wheat). Its description in RNAcentral is "partial small subunit ribosomal RNA". Lineage: Eukaryota; Viridiplantae; Streptophyta; Magnoliopsida; Poales; Poaceae. The record is from RNAcentral.